AAAGUUCUAAUCAAACAAUUUUCCUACUCUCCAGGUUAAGAGGCCUUCAUCAGGCCUCUUUAUGCACAUGGGGAUUUCAGAAUUCAUAUUGACAAGUAACUUGUGCCCCCCCAUGAUUUCUACCAUUAUAUGUUGGAUGUGUAUAGGGAGACUGUAGGCAGAUUCUUAGUUCCCAGGGCUACAAGGAACCACAUUCAGACCUGACAGAGAAUAUCCUUUUAUUCAGAGAUCCUGAACUUAGAGCUUUAUACAGUGAUCAGAUGGGACUUUGAUUGUUUCCCUUGGAGAAGAGUGAAUGUCUUCUAUAUGCAGGAAGGGUGAAACAUAUUUGGUGACCAGAGGUAGAGUAUAGCCAAGAAUGCUACUGCUUGGCAAUAUGAGCUAUAGCUUCUGGCCUUCUUUAAAAUUAGGAGUGGUCAAUUGGCUGCAUUCUGGUCAAUUGAAUGUAAGUGCAAAACGUUUAAAGGAAAUGAUUACAGUUGCCACCAUCUCCUUGAUUAUUAAUUAAAGGCUUUUCUUCAAUUAUCA
RNAcentral lists this non-coding RNA (528 nucleotides) under Pongo abelii (Sumatran orangutan). Lineage: Eukaryota; Metazoa; Chordata; Mammalia; Primates; Hominidae. The record is from RNAcentral.